This 596-nucleotide ribosomal RNA is filed under the name uncultured Pseudolabrys sp. Its description in RNAcentral is "bacterial SSU rRNA". It matches the Rfam family "Bacterial small subunit ribosomal RNA", at positions 66 to 707 of the family's 1533-position model. Lineage: Bacteria; Pseudomonadati; Pseudomonadota; Alphaproteobacteria; Hyphomicrobiales; Xanthobacteraceae. The record is from RNAcentral.
GCGCCGUAGCAAUACGGAGCGGCAGACGUGAGAGUAACACGUGGGAACGUGCCCUUUGGUUCGGAAUAACUCAGGGAAACUUGAGCUAAUACCGGAUAAGCCCUUACGGGGAAAGAUUUAUUGCCAGUUGGAGCGGCCCGCGUCGGAUUGGCUAGUUGGUGAGGUAAUGGCUCACCAAGGCGACGAUCCGUAGCUGGUCUGAGAGGAUGACCAGCCUCACUGGGACUGAGACACGGCCCAGACUCCUGCGGGAGGCAGCAGUGGGGAAUAUUGGACAAUGGGCGCAAGCCUGAUCCAGCCAUGCCGCGUGGAUGAUGAAGGCCCUAGGGUUGUAAAGUCCUUUUAACGGGGAAGAUAAUGACGGUACCCGUAGAAUAAGCCCCGGCUAACUUCGUGCCAGCAGCCGCGGUAAUACGAAGGGGGCUAGCGUUGCUCGGAAUUACUGGGCGUAAAGCGCACGUAGGCGGAUCGAUAAGUCGGGGGUGAAAUCCUGGAGCUCAACUCCAGAACUGCCUUCGAAACUGCCGGUCUUGAGUUCGGGAGAGGUGAGUGGAACUGCGAGUGUAGAGGUGAAAUUCGUAGAUAUUCGCAAGAAC